UCCGUAGGUGAACCUGCGGAAGGAUCAUUACAGAGUUCAUGCCCUUACGGGUAGAUCUCCCACCCUUUGAGUACUAUACUUUUGUUGCUUUGGCAGGCCGCUUCGGCUACCGGCUUCGGCUGGUGAGUGCCUGCCAGAGGACCCCAAAUUCUGAAUUAUAGUGUCGUCUGAGAACUAUAUAAUAGUUAAAACUUUCAACAACGGAUCUCUUGGUUCUGGCAUCGAUGAAGAACGCAGCGAAAUGCGAUAAGUAAUGUGAAUUGCAGAAUUCAGUGAAUCAUCGAAUCUUUGAACGCAUAUUGCGCUCUCUGGUAUUCCGGAGAGCAUGCUUGUUUGAGUAUCAGUAAACACCUCAACUCCCCUUUCUUUUUUUGAAAUGGGAGCUGGACUUGAGUGAUCCCAACGCUUUUCUCACCGAAAAGUGGCGGGUUACUUGAAAUGCAGGUGCAGCUGGACUUUUCUCUGAGCUAAAAGCAUAUCUAUUUAGUCUGCCUAAAAAACAGAUUAUUACCUUUGCUGCAGCUAACAUAAAGGAGAUUAGUUCUUGUGCUGACUGAUGCAGGAUUCACAGAGACAGCUUCGGCUGGCCUUUGUAAACUCGAUCUCAAAUCAAGUAAGACUACCCGCUGAACUUAAGCAUAUCAAUAAGCGGAGGA
RNAcentral lists this ribosomal RNA (656 nucleotides) under uncultured fungus. Its description in RNAcentral is "eukaryotic LSU rRNA". The stretch from base 190 to 343 matches the Rfam family "5.8S ribosomal RNA". Lineage: Eukaryota; Fungi. The record is from RNAcentral.